GGCUCAGUGGUCUAGUGGUAUGAUUCGUGCUUCGGGUGUGCGAGGUCUCGGGUUCAAUCCCCGACUGAGCCC
This 72-nucleotide transfer RNA is filed under the name Ophiostoma novo-ulmi subsp. novo-ulmi H327. RNAcentral describes it as "tRNA-Pro (CGG) (tRNA-Pro-CGG-2-1)". It matches the Rfam family "tRNA". From Rfam's summary of the family: Transfer RNA (tRNA) molecules are approximately 80 nucleotides in length. RNAcentral also lists the same sequence under 1 other name. The record is from RNAcentral. Lineage: Eukaryota; Fungi; Ascomycota; Sordariomycetes; Ophiostomatales; Ophiostomataceae.